Small nuclear RNA from Panicum hallii, 159 nucleotides. RefSeq annotates it as U1 spliceosomal RNA. The record is from RefSeq and is a predicted model, not a curated record. The transcript has a single exon. Lineage: Eukaryota; Viridiplantae; Streptophyta; Magnoliopsida; Poales; Poaceae.
UUACUUACAUGGAUAGGGUUAAUAGCUGAUCAAGAAGAGCUAUGGCCCAGAUCAGUGGCCUCUAUUGCACCUCGAAGGAGCAUUGGCUUACCAUCUUCCUAAAUGUGAGAGUGGAUGUCAUAAUUUGUGGUAGAGGGGGUACAGUUCGCGCGGCCCUAC